This 1741-nucleotide ribosomal RNA is filed under the name human gut metagenome. RNAcentral's name for it is "bacterial LSU rRNA". It matches the Rfam family "Bacterial large subunit ribosomal RNA", at positions 1082 to 2925 of the family's 2925-position model. The record is from RNAcentral.
CGUCGGCAGCGUCAGAUGUGUAUAAGAGACAGCAUUCAAAGAGUGCGUAAUAGCUCACUGGUCGAGCGUCUUUGCGCGGAGAAUUUAACGGGGCUAAACCUGACACCGAAGCUUAGGCAAUACAGCAAUGUAUUGGGUAGGGGAGCGUUGUAUACGCGGUGAAACAGUAGCGCAAGCGGCUGUGGAGUGUAUAGAAGUGAGAAUGCCGGAAUGAGUAGCGCGAAUGCAGUGAGAAUCUGCAUGGCCGAAAGCCUCAGGUUUCUGGAGGAAGGUUCGUCCGCUCCAGGUUAGUCGGGAGCUAAGGUGAGGCCUAACGGCGUAGCCGAUGCACAGACGGUAGAGAUUCCGUCACCACCAAAAGAGUUAAACACAGGGACACAUUUGAAGUCUCGGAGCCGGGUGUUGGUUCCGGUAGCGAUCGAGGGAAAUUAGUACCGAAGUCCGGGAUGGAAGAUGGCGAGAAAAGCUGUGUGUAUUUCUGAGGUGCCCGUACCGCAAACCGACACAGGUAGGUAGGAAGAAGAUUCUAAGGCCAACGGGAGAAGGGUUGUUAAGGAACUCGGCAAGUUGACCCCGUAACUUCGGAAUAAGGGGUGCUCACGAGAGUGAGCCGCAGAGAAUAGGCCCAGGCAACUGUUUACCAAAAACACAGGUUUGUGCUAAAUCGAAAGAUGACGUAUACGAGCUGACGCCUGCCCGGUGCUGGAAGGUUAAGAGGAGAUGUGCAAGCAUUGAAUCGAAGCCCCAGUGAACGGCGGCCGUAACUAUAACGGUCCUAAGGUAGCGAAAUUCCUUGUCAGGUAAGUUCUGACCCGCACGAAUGGCGUAAUGAUUUGGGCACUGUCUCAACAGCCCGCCCGGCGAAAUUGUAGUACCGGUGAAGAUGCCGGUUACCCGCGACAAGACGGAAAGACCCCAUGGAGCUUUACUGUAGCCUAAUAUUGGGUUUCGAUGUUGCAUGCACAGGAUAGAUGGGACACAGGGAAACAAUCGCUUUGGCGGUUGCGGAGUGGCCGUUGGGAUACCAUCCUUGCGAUAUUGGAAUUCUAACCUGCGCCUUUGAAUCAAGGCGGGGGACAUUGUUAGGUGGGCAGUUUGACUGGGGCGGUCGCCUCCUAAAGAGUAACGGAGGCGUUCAAAGGUUCGCUCAGCUUGAACGGAAAUCAAGCAAAAGAGUGCAAACGCAGAAGCGAGCCUAACUGCGAGACUGACGGGUCGAGCAGUAACGAAAGUUGGAGUUAGUGAUCCGGUGGUAUGUGAGUGGAAAUGCCAUCGCUCAACGGAUAAAAGCUACCCUGGGGAUAACAGGCUGAUCUCCCCCAAGAGUCCACAUCGACGGGGAGGUUUGGCACCUCGAUGUCGGCUCAUCGCAUCCUGGGGCUGUAUUCGGUCCCAAGGGUUUGGCUGUUCGCCAAUUAAAGCGGCACGCGAGCUGGGUUCAGAACGUCGUGAGACAGUUCGGUCCCUAUCCAUCGUGGGCGUAGGAGUCAUGAGAGGAGCUGUUCCUAGUACGAGAGGACCGGAAUGGACGCACCACUGGUGCAACUGUUGUCGUGCCAACGGCAUAGCAGGGAAGCGAAGUGCGGAUGGGAUAAACGCUGAAGGCAUCUAAGCGUGAAGCCCACCUCAAGAAUAAGACUCCACAAUAGACCCCUGGAGGACUACCAGGUAGAUAGGUCAUCGGUGGAAGCGCUGUAAGGCGUGUAGCUUGAUGAUACUAAUCGGUCGAAAGCUUCAUUUA